AUAUUCUGUUAAUACUCCAAUUGUUCUGUUCUCUAUUACCGAAGAACUCAAACAAGGAGACGAUCUCCAAUGGAAGAACACUUCCCUCUGCCCCAAUCCGCCAUGAAACAAGAUUUCGGGAAAUUGCAAUAUGGAUGCGAGCAUUACAGGAGACGGUGCAAAAUCCGAGCUCCAUGCUGCGACCAAAUCUUCACCUGUCGCCACUGCCACAACGAGGCCAUGACCUCGCUGAGCA
Molecule: long non-coding RNA, 235 nt
Organism: Cucumis melo (muskmelon)
Lineage: Eukaryota; Viridiplantae; Streptophyta; Magnoliopsida; Cucurbitales; Cucurbitaceae
Exons: 3
Source: RefSeq, a predicted model, not a curated record